This is a long non-coding RNA of Neofelis nebulosa (Clouded leopard), 988 nucleotides long. RefSeq lists it as uncharacterized. Lineage: Eukaryota; Metazoa; Chordata; Mammalia; Carnivora; Felidae. The transcript is spliced from 2 exons. The record is from RefSeq and is a predicted model, not a curated record.
UUGAGUGAGGUUAACACCCAGGCCACGUCCCAAGGCCAGAGACUGCUUGGACAUCCCUCCCCGCAUGGCGACAGGCUGAGUCUGGGAUGUUUGUGACAGCUCUGGCCGAACGUGCCCCGGAGUCCAGCGAAGCCUCCAGCAGCUGGACAAGUGUGAUAAAUGGUCCCCCCUGGCACGCCACACCCCUCCACCGGAGAUGGGCCGGGGCUGGUGUAUGGACCAUGUGAAUGCAGCUGCUGGGUAACGCAAAGCCAUGAUGGAGAACCAUGAACGUGGGGAUGAGGUCCAGGGAAGCAACAGGACACCUUGGUGCUGGGAGAUACUUGCAGGCGGAGAGGGGAGAGGGGUCCAGAUGGAGGAAACGGCCAGAGCAAGCGAAGCUGAAAGGAUGCAGGAGGAAGGCCAGGAGCUGAGCGGGAAGGAGCAGAAAAGAUCAUCCUUCAAGGCCUGUGCCAAGUGUCUCCUCCUCCAGGAAGAUCGUUCUGACCUCUGGUUGCGCUCCUGCUCCCAAAGGAGCCACUGUCCAUGCGUCUGACACUAUCCUACAGCCUUCUUCCUGAACAGCUGUCAUCCUGCCAUCCCCAAAUCCUCAGACCGUUUUGUCCUUUCGGGGGGCCUCCUCCUGCACCUUGCCCUGUGCCACCGACGCUCAUUCCAAACCAAAAAUGUAUUGAGGGAGGAUAAGUAAACAUGGCCCACGCACACAAUGGAAUACCACUCAGCAACAAGAAGGAACAAAUUACGUGUACAUGCAACAACACGGAUGUCAAAGAUAGUAUGUUGAGGGGCGCCCGGGUGGCUCAGUCAGUUAAGCGUCCAACUCUUGAUUUCGGCCCAGGUCAUGAUCUCACAGUUCGUGAGUUUAAGCCCUGCAUCUGGCUCCAUGCUGACAGUGCAGAGCCUGCAUGAGAUUCUCUCUCUCUCUCUCUCUCUCUCUCUCUCUCUCUCUCUCUCUGCCCCUCCCCCACUCGUGCUUGUGUGCUCUCUC